AACGAACGCUGGCGGCAUGCCUAACACAUGCAAGUCGAACGAGACCUUCGGGUCUAGUGGCGCACGGGUGCGUAACGCGUGGGAACCUGCCCUUAGGUUCGGAAUAACUCCCCGAAAGGGGUGCUAAUACCGGAUAAUGUCUUCGGACCAAAGAUUUAUCGCCUUUGGAUGGGCCCGCGUUGGAUUAGCUAGUUGGUAGGGUAAAAGCCUACCAAGGCGACGAUCCAUAGCUGGUCUGAGAGGAUGAUCAGCCACACUGGGACUGAGACACGGCCCAGACCCCCAGGGGGGGGAAGAGGGGGGGAAUAUGGAAAAGGGGCGAAAGGUGUGCCCAGCAAAGGCCGGGGGAGUGAGGAGGGCUUGGGGGGUGAAAGGUUUUUUUCCCGGGGAUAAAAAUGACGGAACGGGAGAAAAAGGCCCCGGCUACCCCCGUG
RNAcentral lists this ribosomal RNA (434 nucleotides) under uncultured bacterium. RNAcentral describes it as "partial 16S ribosomal RNA". It matches the Rfam family "Bacterial small subunit ribosomal RNA", at positions 29 to 507 of the family's 1533-position model. The record is from RNAcentral.